This 233-nucleotide ribosomal RNA is filed under the name uncultured bacterium. RNAcentral's name for it is "partial 16S ribosomal RNA". It matches the Rfam family "Bacterial small subunit ribosomal RNA", at positions 524 to 755 of the family's 1533-position model. The record is from RNAcentral.
UACGUAGGGUGCGAGCGUUGUCCGGAAUUAUUGGGCGUAAAGAGCUCGUAGGCGGUUUGUCGCGUCUGCUGUGAAAACCUAAGGCUCAACCUUGGGCUUGCAGUGGGUACGGGCAGACUAGAGUGCGGUAGGGGUGACUGGAAUUCCUGGUGUAGCGGUGGAAUGCGCAGAUAUCAGGAGGAACACCGAUGGCGAAGGCAGGUCACUGGGCCGCAACUGACGCUGGAGGAGCG